Molecule: ribosomal RNA, 1493 nt
Filed under: Lacticaseibacillus casei
Lineage: Bacteria; Bacillati; Bacillota; Bacilli; Lactobacillales; Lactobacillaceae
Description: bacterial SSU rRNA
Rfam family: Bacterial small subunit ribosomal RNA
Source: RNAcentral
GAUGGACGCUGGCGGCGUGCCUAAUACAUGCAAGUCGAACGAGUUCUCGUUGAUGAUCGGUGCUUGCACCGAGAUUCAACAUGGAACGAGUGGCGGACGGGUGAGUAACACGUGGGUAACCUGCCCUUAAGUGGGGGAUAACAUUUGGAAACAGAUGCUAAUACCGCAUAGAUCCAAGAACCGCAUGGUUCUUGGCUGAAAGAUGGCGUAAGCUAUCGCUUUUGGAUGGACCCGCGGCGUAUUAGCUAGUUGGUGAGGUAAUGGCUCACCAAGGCGAUGAUACGUAGCCGAACUGAGAGGUUGAUCGGCCACAUUGGGACUGAGACACGGCCCAAACUCCUACGGGAGGCAGCAGUAGGGAAUCUUCCACAAUGGACGCAAGUCUGAUGGAGCAACGCCGCGUGAGUGAAGAAGGCUUUCGGGUCGUAAAACUCUGUUGUUGGAGAAGAAUGGUCGGCAGAGUAACUGUUGUCGGCGUGACGGUAUCCAACCAGAAAGCCACGGCUAACUACGUGCCAGCAGCCGCGGUAAUACGUAGGUGGCAAGCGUUAUCCGGAUUUAUUGGGCGUAAAGCGAGCGCAGGCGGUUUUUUAAGUCUGAUGUGAAAGCCCUCGGCUUAACCGAGGAAGCGCAUCGGAAACUGGGAAACUUGAGUGCAGAAGAGGACAGUGGAACUCCAUGUGUAGCGGUGAAAUGCGUAGAUAUAUGGAAGAACACCAGUGGCGAAGGCGGCUGUCUGGUCUGUAACUGACGCUGAGGCUCGAAAGCAUGGGUAGCGAACAGGAUUAGAUACCCUGGUAGUCCAUGCCGUAAACGAUGAAUGCUAGGUGUUGGAGGGUUUCCGCCCUUCAGUGCCGCAGCUAACGCAUUAAGCAUUCCGCCUGGGGAGUACGACCGCAAGGUUGAAACUCAAAGGAAUUGACGGGGGCCCGCACAAGCGGUGGAGCAUGUGGUUUAAUUCGAAGCAACGCGAAGAACCUUACCAGGUCUUGACAUCUUUUGAUCACCUGAGAGAUCAGGUUUCCCCUUCGGGGGCAAAAUGACAGGUGGUGCAUGGUUGUCGUCAGCUCGUGUCGUGAGAUGUUGGGUUAAGUCCCGCAACGAGCGCAACCCUUAUGACUAGUUGCCAGCAUUUAGUUGGGCACUCUAGUAAGACUGCCGGUGACAAACCGGAGGAAGGUGGGGAUGACGUCAAAUCAUCAUGCCCCUUAUGACCUGGGCUACACACGUGCUACAAUGGAUGGUACAACGAGUUGCGAGACCGCGAGGUCAAGCUAAUCUCUUAAAGCCAUUCUCAGUUCGGACUGUAGGCUGCAACUCGCCUACACGAAGUCGGAAUCGCUAGUAAUCGCGGAUCAGCACGCCGCGGUGAAUACGUUCCCGGGCCUUGUACACACCGCCCGUCACACCAUGAGAGUUUGUAACACCCGAAGCCGGUGGCGUAACCCUUUUAGGGAGCGAGCCGUCUAAGGUGGGACAAAUGAUUAGGGUGA